GUGCCCAGAUGGGAUUAGCUAGUAGGUGGGGUAACGGCUCACCUAGGCGCCGAUCCCUAGCUGGUCUGAGAGGAUGACCAGCCACACUGGAACUGAGACACGGUCCAGACUCCUACGGGAGGCAGCAGUGGGGAAUAUUGCACAAUGGGCGCAAGCCUGAUGCAGCCAUGCCGCGUGUAUGAAGAAGGCCUUCGGGUUGUAAAGUACUUUCAGCGGGGAGGAAGGGAGUAAAGUUAAUACCUUUGCUCAUUGACGUUACCCGCAGAAGAAGCACCGGCUAACUCCGUGCCAGCAGCCGCGGUAAUACGGAGGGUGCAAGCGUUAAUCGGAAUUACUGGGCGUAAAGCGCACGCAGGCGGUUUGUUAAGUCAGAUGUGAAAUCCCCGGGCUCAACCUGGGAACUGCAUCUGAUACUGGCAAGCUUGAGUCUCGUAGAGGGGGGUAGAAUUCCAGGUGUAGCGGUGAAAUGCGUAGAGAUCUGGAGGAAUACCGGUGGCGAAGGCGGCCCCCUGGACGAAGACUGACGCUCAGGUGCGAAAGCGUGGGGAGCAAACAGGAUUAGAUCCCCUGGUAGUCCACGCCGUAAACGAUGUCGACUUGGAGGUUGUGCCCUUGAGGCGUGGCUUCCGGAGCUAACGCGUUAAGUCGACCGCCUGGGGAGUACGGCCGCAAGGUUAAAACUCAAAUGAAUUGACGGGGGCCCGCACAAGCGGUGGAGCAUGUGGUUUAAUUCGAUGCAACGCGAAGAACCUUACCUGGUCUUGACAUCCACGGAAGUUUUCAGAGAUGAGAAUGUGCCUUCGGGAACCGUGAGACAGGUGCUGCAUGGCUGUCGUCAGCUCGUGUUGUGAAAUGUUGGGUUAAGUCCCGCAACGAGCGCAACCCUUAUCCUUUGUUGCCAGCGGUCCGGCCGGGAACUCAAAGGAGACUGCCAGUGAUAAACUGGAGGAAGGUGGGGAUGACGUCAAGUCAUCAUGGCCCUUACGACCAGGGCUACACACGUGCUACAAUGGCGCAUACAAAGAGAAGCGACCUCGCGAGAGCAAGCGGACCUCAUAAAGUGCGUCGUAGUCCGGAUUGGAGUCUGCAACUCGACUCCAUGAAGUCGGAAUCGCUAGUAAUCGUGGAUCAGAAUGCCACGGUGAAUACGUUCCCGGGCCUUGUACACACCGCCCGUCACACCAUGGGAGUGGGUUGCAAAAGAAGUAGGUAGCUUAACCUUCGGGAGGGCGCUUACCACUUUGUGAUUCAUGACUGGGGUGAAGUCGUAACAAGGUAACCGU
Molecule: ribosomal RNA, 1283 nt
Filed under: uncultured bacterium
Lineage: Bacteria
Description: bacterial SSU rRNA
Rfam family: Bacterial small subunit ribosomal RNA
Source: RNAcentral